GCUGUGCGGUGCAGGGGGCGAGGCUGGGGCCCCCACUGGCAGGAAGAUGGAGCGCUGGGUCUCCAUCAUCGCUUGGCACUGAGGGUGCGCGUGUGACGCCAGUAUGAGAGAGGGCUAGUCCCGGGGAAGAGCUAUUUGCGCUGGAUUGUAAAGGGGAAAGAGGGUUUUGGCUCACUCUGUGGGCCUUUCCAAAUCCUCCAUGCUGGGGUUUGGGCAAAGCCCAGAGCUGCCUCGGGGCUCUCCCAGAAUGAGCCUGCAUUGGCUCCUUCAGCAAUGGGUUUGAAUCCAAACCUCCCCCUGGGUUGCUCAGCAGAAGAGGACUUCUGGUCCUCGCAGGCCUGGCCCUGGGCUCGUCUGGCACAGACAAGGGGACCGGUCCCUUUGGCUGAGCUGUACUCUCUGCUCUUACCUUGAGCUGGAGAUGGGCUGAUCUCCAGUCCGGGGUCUGGUCUCAAUGGAUGUUUCAGGGAUUCUCAGGACAUGGUCUUGGACCCGUCUCCAUCUGCCUGCGCCGAGUCACAUGGGGUCCAGGGCCUUGCUUCCGGUGCUGAUUGUGGCUCGCCCCUCCUCACCAGCCAACUGGGUCAGCACUGCAGGACAAGCAGACCUUCUGAGCCAAGACUUCGGUGGAGGGUUAUUAUUUGGUUGCGUUUGGAAUGGGCAAGGCGAACAGUUUCCACUUCCCCGAGGGCAGCCGGAUUGUAAACCCUGGAUUACGCGCUGCACGUCUGUCCCAGCUGCCUUGGGAGAGCCUGCGGGAGGAGCAUCGACGGGACACGCUCCUGGGGCUGGCGUCCGUUCUCUCCUGCCUCCAUCUACAAAAACGGGGAAACUGAGGCCCAGAGGAGCCAAGGACUUGCUAGCCACCUCCCAAUCAGAGACCUCCGUGAUGAGAGCAAGGAUUGGCAUUGAGGAUUUAUCUUGGGCAAAGCUCUGUUCUACUUCCUGGACCGGCGUCCUCAUCUUCUUGGCCGCUCUUGUGAAUCUUGACUACCCUGCUCCCGGUGCCUGGAUGUGCCCUAUAGAAACAACUCGGUUUUCUUUGCCCUCGCCUUCUGAAAGCAAGCACGGCUACUAACAGCGGUGAUGUUAGCUCUACGAACUCCCUCUGUGCGCACCCCACCUUCCAAGAUGGAGAAAGUCUUCCCCGGGCCUUGGAUUUGGGCUCUUGGCCACUGUAUUGCCAGACCACCGUGAGCAGGAAUUUUAGGAGAGUCUAUUGGGACAGGACAUCUAGCAAGGAGGCUGGGUCCCUAGCAUCUGGAGCACACGCAGCCCCUAACCUAUGUUCCGUCCUCGCUGGAGAGAGCUAUGGACUUGAGCAAGCUGAACCAGUUUGGUGCAUGGGCUUUGACCAGGGAUCUGGAACAACGGGCUGGGCCACUUUGAGCUCCCCAAGGCUCCUGCUUAUUUAUUUUACCAACAUAACUUGAAGCCAAUAUUUAAGCAUUACCAAAGCAACAGCUCCAGCCCUCCAGCCCUUGGUCCCCAUCCAGCCCACAUGGUGGGGAUGGAGCGGGAGGAGGAGCAAGGAAAAUGAGUCAACCAUGCCCCCCACCUCCCAACCACCUGGGAAAACAGUGACCCAAAAAACAGAUCCCAGCCUCUCUUCCAGGGUAAUUGUUCUUUCCCGUGGUCCUACGGCUCUGUGCCUUUCACGCAAGCGGAACAAAGUCGAGGAAGACCUCUGUCUCCGUAUUUUAUUUUACUUUUGUUGUUACGGUUGGAGCCAACAGGCUUUUCAAACCUCUUAUUGACAUUUAAUAUACAUGAAGAAAGUGUACAAACCAUGAGUGGACAAUUUUUGGGUCACAGACUGAAGCGGCCUUUCACUGGCACCCAGACUAAGCAAUGGCAUGUGAGCAGCCCCCCCCCAAGGCCCCCUGGUCCCCGCUCCUCAUUACUACAUCCCCAGGGUAAUCAUUACGCUAACUGCUCACAGCAUAGCUCAGUUUUGCCUGUUUUCGUACUUUGUAUAAAUGGACUCAUAUGCUAUGUUCUCUCCUGGAUUGAGACCAGAAGCAUUUUUAGUUCCUGAGAGAUGUGAGUGGCCCCCUUCUCACCACCAGCUCGGGGGG
Molecule: long non-coding RNA, 2078 nt
Filed under: Ursus maritimus (polar bear)
Lineage: Eukaryota; Metazoa; Chordata; Mammalia; Carnivora; Ursidae
Description: lncRNA (ENSUMAG00000024072.1)
Source: RNAcentral